GAGGGCUGAGUACUGGGGACACUGGGACAGGAAGGACAUGGCCCUUUCCCUCCAGGACUUCACGUUAAAUCGACAGGUUCAUUUGGACAAAUUCUUUCAUUCAUUUGGCGUGUUUUUAUUCUGAAGUGCAGGUUCACAAAACUCUGUGACAAAGGGCGUAUUUCGGAGAGGUUAGAAGUGCUACAGAAGCAGAGGGGAAAGAAAAACGAAUGGCCUUUCGGUCGCAUUGGGAAGCCAGAGCGGGCACAGAGGGACGGAGCAGACCUUCAGGGUCCCAGCUGUGGACUGCGGGAGCCCAAGCUGCUCUUCCCGCCAGGAGCGCCAAAGCAAGACGCCUGUGGGAAACGGGACAGGAAUCUCAGAGAAUUCCUCUCAGGGUGUACUCUCCGUGGGUGACUGAAGUGGCUAAUGGCUUGAUGCUCACCGAACUGAAAUGGCAGAAGAAAAGGAGAGGAAGUGUUAUGGCGCUGUUCUCCUGGGGAGGAUGUGGACUCUGGUGAAAGAGGCAGACUGUGGCUUGACUGGAGAGUGUUGGAGGAAGUAUGUUAUAAGUAAAAAAUACCAUAUUUAUAUAUGUAGAAUAUAUACACAUACAUCAUAUGUAGUAUAUAUAUAGUAUCUAUAUAUACAAUUUUUAUGCUAAAGAAUUUUUAAGCCUUUUUAACCCAAAGAAAAGCCACCCUGAAGGGGCAGCCCUUAGCUUCAAAAUGCUAGAACUCCACUAGGGGCUGCAAUCCCUUUAGAAGGGGACUGUAAACUGGGGUAACAUUUUUUUUUUAUCAGCAAACUUCUCAUUAUGUAUUUUCUAAGCCAAGGUAAUUCUACUGAAUAAUUUUCUAGUAGGUAGUUAAAAAAAGAUCCAUUGUAUAAAGAAGAUGUGGUGUGUGUAU
Non-coding RNA from Vicugna pacos (alpaca), 890 nucleotides. The record is from RefSeq and is a predicted model, not a curated record. Lineage: Eukaryota; Metazoa; Chordata; Mammalia; Artiodactyla; Camelidae.